ACCGCAGCCCAGCCCCAGUCCGGGAGGAAGUUCUGCCGGGCGCUCUCCGCCGGUGCCUCCCUGGUUAUAUUGUUGAACAGGAAACCCGGCAGCGCGGGAGCCGCGCGGUCGAGGAGGGAGCGCGGGACGCCGAGCCCACGCGCGCCUGCCGGGGCAAGUGGAGGCGAGGCCGGCGAGCAGACGCCCCGAGGGUCGAGGAAGGAACCGAGGCCGGGUCUCCUUCUUAUCCAGCCCGAGACACUGAGCUCCAGUGGGCGUCCCUGCGCUGGGAAUCCCGCUCGGAGUUUUUCCAGGCCUGGCCGGGCUGCGUCGGGAAAGGCCCUGCUCCGGUUCCGCGCAGCCUCUCCGGCCUCGCCCCUGGAAACCCCGCCCAGGGCGAUGGUAGGGGCCUAACCUGCUGCCACCGCCGGCUCCGCCCACCCAGCCCAUGGGCUCCCUGAGGCCCGCCCAGCCGACGAAAACGCCGCGGCCGCGAUGGCGGCGGACGUGGAGGGGGACGUGUACGUGCUGGUGGAGCACCCCUUCGAGUACACGGGCAAGGACGGGCGCCGUGUGGCCAUCCGGCCCAAUGAGCGCUACCGCCUGCUGCGGCGCAGCACCGAGCACUGGUGGCACGUGCGGCGUGAGCCUGGUGGCCGCCCCUUCUACCUGCCCGCGCAGUACGUGCGCGAGCUGCCCGCGCUGGGCAACCCUGCCGCCGCCCCGCCGCCAGGUCCCCACCCGGGCCCCGCGGCUCCCGAGCCGCUGGCCUAUGACUACCGGUUUGUGAGCGCGGCAGCGGCCACCGGCCCCGACGGCGCCCCCGCGGAGCCCAGAGGCCGAGCCAGCUCCUUGUGCGGCCCUGCGCAACGCGGCGCCGCGACCCAGCGCAGCAGCCUAGCGCCCGGCCUGCCCACCUGCCUGUACCUGCGGCCUGCGGCGCCCGUGCGGCCCGCGCAGUCCCUGGACGACCUGGCGCGCGCCGCCGUCUCGCCUCCCUGCGGCCUCCUAGGAAGCAGCGGCACCUUCAAGGCCUGCAGCGUGGCGGGCUCCUGGGUGUGCCCGCGGCCCCUGGCGCGCAGCGACUCAGAGAACGUCUACGAGGUCAUCCAGGACGUGCACGGCCCGCCGCGGGAGGAGAGAGCGGAGCAGGUGGACGACCCCCCGGAGCCCGUGUACGCGAACAUAGAGAGGCAGCCCCGGGCCACUUCGCCAAGCGCCACUGCGGUCCCCCUCCCCAGCCCAGUGUGGGAGACGCACACGGACGCGGGCACCGGGCGCCCCUACUACUACAAUCCAGACACAGGAGUUACCACCUGGGAGUCGCCCUUUGAGGCUGCCGAGGGUGCCGCCAGCCCAGCCACCUCCCCUGCCUCGGUGGACAGCCACGUGAGCCUCGAGACCGAGUGGGGUCAGUACUGGGAUGAGGAGAGCCGCAGAGUGUUCUUCUACAACCCGCUGACGGGCGAGACGGCCUGGGAGGACGACGCCGAGAACGAGCCCGAGGAGGAGUUCGAGAUGCAGCCGGGCCUGAGCCCUGGCAGCCCCGGGGACCCGCGGCCCCCCACCCCUGAGAUGGACUACCCCGAGUCAUUGACCAGUUACCCCGAGGAGGACUAUUCUCCCGUGGGCUCCUUCGGUGAGCCCGGCCCCACCUCUCCCUUGACCACACCUCCCGGCUGGUCUUGUCAUGUCAGCCAGGACAAGCAGAUGCUCUACACCAACCACUUCACCCAGGAGCAGUGGGUGAGGCUGGAGGACCCUCACGGGAAGCCAUACUUCUACAAUCCAGAGGACUCCUCCGUUCGAUGGGAGCUGCCCCAGGUCCCUGUCCCUGCCCCUCGAAGCAUCCAUAAAUCCAGCCAGGAUGAUGACACCCCAGCCCAGGCCAGCCCUCCAGAGGAGAAGGUCCCUGCAGAGCUGGAUGAGGUUGGGAGCUGGGAGGAAGUCUGUCCUGCCACAGCUGCUGUGAGGACCAAGACGUUGGACAAGGCAGGGGUGCUCCAUCGCACCAAGACGGCAGAAAAGGGAAAGCGGCUCCGGAAGAAGCACUGGAGUGCCUCCUGGACUGUGCUGGAGGGUGGCGUCCUGACAUUCUUCAAGGACUCAAAGACCUCAGCUGCAGGCGGCCUGAGGCAGCCUUCCAAGUUUUCCACCCCCGAGUACACAGUGGAGCUGAGGGGGGCCACUCUCUGCUGGGCCCCCAAAGACAAAUCCAGUAGGAAGAAUGUGCUGGAGCUGCGGAGCCGAGAUGGCUCGGAGUACCUGAUUCAGCAUGACUCGGAGGCUAUCAUCAGCACCUGGCAUAAGGCCAUUGCUCAGGGCAUCCAGGAGCUGUCCGCAGAGCUGCCCCCAGAGGAGGAGAGCGAGAGCACCAGAGUGGACUUCGGGGCGAGUGAGCGCCUGGGAAGCUGGCAGGAGAAAGAGGAGGACGCGCGGCCGAAUGCAGCCACGCCCGCCGUGGGCCCCGGGGGCCUGGAGAGCGACUUGAGCAAGGUCCGGUACAAGCUCCGCAAGUUCCUCCAGAGGCGGCCCACACUGCAGUCGCUGCGGGAGAAGGGCUACAUCAAAGACCAGGUGUUCGGCUGCGCGCUGGCCGCGCUGUGUGAGCGCGAGAGGAGCCGGGUGCCACGCUUUGUGCAGCAGUGCAUCCGCGCCGUCGAGGCCCGCGGUACGUGCGUUGUGGGGGUGAGGGAGGCAGGCAUUGGGGUGCCCGCAGGUCUCCUGCCAGGACCGCAGGCUGAAGACCUCUGGAUGGAAGCAGGUCCAGGGGGAAAGUACGGAAGGCCCCGACUGGGAAUCAUAGCAGGGACCUGUAGCCCCACCCUACCCCCACCCCCGAACCUGGGAUCAGCGCCUCCCUCUGCCCCAGGGCUGGACAUCGACGGGCUGUACCGCAUCAGUGGAAACCUGGCCACCAUCCAGAAGCUGCGCUAUAAGGUGGACCAUGAUGAGCGCCUUGACCUGGACGACGGACGCUGGGAGGACGUCCACGUUAUCACCGGCGCCCUGAAGCUCUUCUUUCGGGAGCUGCCGGAGCCCCUCUUCCCCUUCUCGCACUUCCGCCAGUUCAUUGCGGCCAUCAGUGAGCACCUGGGGCAGAGUUGCAGGAUCAGGCCCAGCGCAGCCGCUGUAUGCGCGACCUAGUGCGUUCGCUGCCGGUCCCCAACCAUGACACUCUGCGGAUGCUCUUCCAGCACCUCUGCCGGGUGAUCGAGCACGGCGAGCAGAACCGCAUGUCGGUGCAGAGCGUGGCCAUUGUGUUCGGGCCCACGCUGCUGCGGCCCGAAGUGGAAGAGACCAGCAUGCCCAUGACCAUGGUGUUCCAGAACCAGGUGGUGGAGCUCAUCCUGCAGCAGUGUGCGGACAUCUUCCCGCCGCACUGACUGCGGGCCCGCGACUGGGGCGGCGGCCGAGGGCCUGCCACACAAGCUGGGCGGCGGAGGCCACGCGGCCCGGCCUUCUCUCUGGGACCUUCCCCCAGCGCACAGCCGCAGGCAGGUGUGACUUCUGCACCCUCGGUUCUGAGGGUACGGUGACCCCUAGUGGGCAGUUUGCAAAAUGUGAUUCCUUCCCCCAACUCCUCAUCACCCCUGCCACCCCUCUCCCCUGCCCCCUCCCCCCCACCCGUCACGUCCUAUUUGGGGGUUAAUUAGGAUUUUUUCUCUAUUGCAUCGCUCCUACCGUGCGUGCGCGAUAGUGUGUGUGGGGGUGACAGUUGGAAUUUCAGGAAUGGUGGAUGCUGGGGGGAGGAGUUUGGUGGGGGGCUUCCUAGCUGCUUCUGGCCCUCACCUCGUGGAGGCCUUCACAGAGACCCUGUGGACCCUGUGCCGGCACUGUCCAGUCAUGAAGCAGCUGUAACCACUUCCCUACUGUGGAAAUAGGACUGACCCAGUGUGGGCGGCUGAAGCUGUCCUCCUCAGGCGUCAGGGAUGACCUCCUGCCUGAGCCUCUCGCAGGCUGGCUGUGCGCCAGUUUCAUCUGCUUUUCUGUUGGGGAUACCGGGCCUCUGCUGUCCCCGACCCACUGGUAUUCUGUGCCAGGCUUCUUCCUAUUCACCAAGUGCGCACCUCGCAUCUGCCACUCGGCAUGCACCAGUUCCACACUCAAUCCCAUUUUACAGACGAGGAUGCUGAGGCCUGCAGCUGCAAUGUGACUUGCUCAAGGUCCAGUGAGUGACCUCACUCCCCAGAAAAGGCUCCUCCCACACCAGAGCACCGCCUGAGUAGGGGGGAAAUCAGUCCUUUCAGCUACCACCCUCCAACCUUUGGGCCUAUGCGAAAGGAAAGGAACUAAACUGGGUGUUUUCUGUCUGGACCUGGGGAGGCCCCUGAAGGCAAAGAGGCAAACUGCCCCAGCUGUUCUGUCCUAGAGGAGGGGGACAUAGCCCUAGCAGGAGCUCCCAGCCCCUUCUGGCAGUCUGACACACAAGUAUGCCCAUCUGGGGCCCGCUUUGCCCUGAAGAGCUGGGCAGGCCUGCAGGGUGUGGGGAAGGAGGACACAACCUCAAGAAAGGAAGAAUGAAUCCCAGGGAACAGCAGGUCCCUUCCCUCCUCAGACACAAGCCACCUCAGGUUGUGGCUCUUGGCCCCCCGCCCCCCCCCCCCCCCCGUUCAUUUAUUCAACAGACAAUGACAGCUCAUAUUUAUUGGACAUUAGCACCAUGCCAAGCAUUUGGCUUGGAUUAUCCCAUUUGUUUCUCACAGCCGGUAUUUAUUGUCCGCUCUUCUGUGCCAGGUGCUGUGCUCUGGGCAGGGGCACUGCACGGGCUGCCUGCCCUGGUGGAGCUUGUGGUCUGACGGGUGAGGCUGACCCAAGCCCACCUCACUGCCAUUGCCAGCAGGGCCAGGGCAAGAGUACACACAGGGGCCUCAUACCAUGUGUUUAAAUAUUUAAAACUUAUCAAUCAAGCUAACAACUGUUAAAUAAAAUAUGUUCUAUUCUCCUACUUUGA
This is an RNA transcript of Piliocolobus tephrosceles (Ugandan red Colobus), 4933 nucleotides long. It is a transcript of the gene named Rho GTPase activating protein 27, with no coding region annotated. Lineage: Eukaryota; Metazoa; Chordata; Mammalia; Primates; Cercopithecidae. The transcript has 19 exons. The record is from RefSeq and is a predicted model, not a curated record.